Molecule: ribosomal RNA, 891 nt
Filed under: uncultured bacterium
Lineage: Bacteria
Description: bacterial SSU rRNA
Rfam family: Bacterial small subunit ribosomal RNA
Source: RNAcentral
AGAGUUUGAUCCUGGCUCAGGAUGAACGCUAGCGGCAGGCCUAAUACAUGCAAGUCGGACGGGAUUGGAGAGCUUGCUUUCCAUGGGAGUGGCGCACGGGUGCGUAACACGUAUGUAACCUACCUUGUUCAGGGGGAUAGCCUCUCGAAAGAGAGAUUAAGACCGCAUAAAAUCACAUUGCAGCAUUGCAAAAUGAUCAAAUAUUUAUAGGAACAAGAUGGGCAUGCGGAACAUUAGCUAGUUGGUAAGGUAACGGCUUACCAAGGCUACGAUGUUUAGGGGAUCUGAGAGGAUGACCCCCCACACUGGUACUGAGACACGGACCAGACUCCUACGGGAGGCAGCAGUAAGGAAUAUUGGUCAAUGGGCGGAAGCCUGAACCAGCCAUGCCGCGUGCAGGAAGACGGCCCUACGGGUUGUAAACUGCUUUUAUACGGGAAUAAACCUGAUUACGUGUAAUCAGCUGAAUGUACUGUAAGAAUAAGGAUCGGCUAACUCCGUGCCAGCAGCCGCGGUAAUACGGAGGAUCCAAGCGUUAUCCGGAUUUAUUGGGUUUAAAGGGUGCGUAGGUGGCCUGUUAAGUCAGGGGUGAAAGACGGUAGCUCAACUAUCGCAGUGCCCUUGAUACUGAUGGGCUUGAAUGAACUAGAGGUAGGCGGAAUGUGACAAGUAGCGGUGAAAUGCAUAGAUAUGUCACAGAACACCAAUUGCGAAGGCAGCUUACUAUGGUUUUAUUGACACUGAGGCACGAAAGCGUGGGGAUCAAACAGGAUUAGAUACCCUGAUAGUCCACGCCCUAAACGAUGAAUACUCGAUGUUGGCGAUAUACGGUCAGCGUCUAAGCGAAAGCGUUAGUAUUCCACCUGGGGAGUACGCCCGCAAGGUGAAACU